Molecule: transfer RNA, 69 nt
Filed under: Urocitellus parryii (Arctic ground squirrel)
Lineage: Eukaryota; Metazoa; Chordata; Mammalia; Rodentia; Sciuridae
Also listed under: 1 other name
Description: Spermophilus parryii (Arctic ground squirrel) tRNA
Rfam family: tRNA
About the family: Transfer RNA (tRNA) molecules are approximately 80 nucleotides in length. Their secondary structure includes four short double-helical elements and three loops (D, anti-codon, and T loops). Further hydrogen bonds mediate the characteristic L-shaped molecular structure. tRNAs have two regions of fundamental functional importance: the anti-codon, which is responsible for specific mRNA codon recognition, and the 3' end, to which the tRNAs corresponding amino acid is attached (by aminoacyl-tRNA synthetases). tRNAs cope with the degeneracy of the genetic code in two manners: having more than one tRNA (with a specific anti-codon) for a particular amino acid; and 'wobble' base-pairing, i.e. permitting non-standard base-pairing at the 3rd anti-codon position.
Source: Rfam by way of RNAcentral
GGGGUUGUGGCUCAGCGGUAGAGCACUCAUCUCGCACAAGUGCGGCCCUGGGUUCAAUCCUCAGCACCA